UACGAAGGGGGCUAGCGUUGUCCGGAUUUAUUGGGCGUAAAGAGCGUGUAGGCGGUUUGGUAGGUCCGCUGUGAAAACUCGAGCUCAACCUCGAGACGCCGGUGGAAACCAUCAGACUAGAGUCCGGAAGAGGAGAGUGGAAUUCCUGGUGUAGCGGUGAAAUGCGCAGAUAUCAGGAAGAACACCCGUGGCUAAGGCGGCUCUCUAGUACGGUACUGACGCUGAGACGCGAAAGCGUGGGGAGCGAACAGG
RNAcentral lists this ribosomal RNA (252 nucleotides) under uncultured bacterium. Its description in RNAcentral is "partial 16S ribosomal RNA". It matches the Rfam family "Bacterial small subunit ribosomal RNA", at positions 524 to 776 of the family's 1533-position model. The record is from RNAcentral.